RNAcentral lists this ribosomal RNA (253 nucleotides) under uncultured bacterium. Its description in RNAcentral is "partial 16S ribosomal RNA". It matches the Rfam family "Bacterial small subunit ribosomal RNA", at positions 524 to 776 of the family's 1533-position model. The record is from RNAcentral.
GACGGAGGGUGCAAGCGUUGCUCGGAAUCAUUGGGCGUAAAGGGUGCGUAGGCGGCUUUUUAAGUCUGACGUGAAAGCCCAGGGCUUAGCCUUGGAAGUGCGCCAGAAACUGGAAGGCUAGAGUGCCGGAGGGGAGAGUGGAAUUCCUGGUGUAGCGGUGAAAUGCGUAGAUAUCAGGAAGAACACCAACGGCGAAGGCAGCUCGCUGGGACGGUACUGACGCUGAGACGCGAAAGCGUGGGGAGCGAACAGG